RNAcentral lists this ribosomal RNA (492 nucleotides) under uncultured bacterium. Its description in RNAcentral is "partial 16S ribosomal RNA". It matches the Rfam family "Bacterial small subunit ribosomal RNA", at positions 29 to 507 of the family's 1533-position model. The record is from RNAcentral.
AUUGAACGCUGGCGGCAUGCUUUACACAUGCAAGUCGAACGGUAACAGGCCUUCGGGUGCUGGCGAGUGGCGAACGGGUGAGUAAUGCAUCGGAACGUACCCAGAGGUGGGGGAUAACGCAGCGAAAGCUGUGCUAAUACCGCAUGUGAUCUGAGGAUGAAAGCGGGGGACCGAGCAGCAAUGUUUGGCCUCGCGCCUUUGGAGCGGCCGAUGUCGGAUUAGCUAGUUGGUGGGGUAAAGGCCUACCAAGGCGACGAUCCGUAGCUGGUCUGAGAGGACGACCAGCCACACUGGGACUGAGACACGGCUCAGACUCCUACGGGAGGCAGCAGUGGGGAAUUUUGGACAAUGGGCGCAAGCCUGAUCCAGCAAUGCCGCGUGCGGGAAGAAGGCCUUCGGGUUGUAAACCGCUUUUGGCAGGAACGAAACGGUGUCCGCUAAUACCGGGCGCUAAUGACGGUACCUGCAGAAUAAGCACCGGCUAACUACGUG